The sequence is a transfer RNA, 65 nucleotides long. It matches the Rfam family "tRNA". From Rfam's summary of the family: Transfer RNA (tRNA) molecules are approximately 80 nucleotides in length. Their secondary structure includes four short double-helical elements and three loops (D, anti-codon, and T loops).
GUUAACUUAGUGUAACACAACACAUUGGACUUUCAAGCCAAAAACACUAAACAAAGUAGCUAACU